RNAcentral lists this long non-coding RNA (1940 nucleotides) under Homo sapiens (human). Its description in RNAcentral is "HSALNT0276004". The record is from RNAcentral. Lineage: Eukaryota; Metazoa; Chordata; Mammalia; Primates; Hominidae.
AUAUUAGCGUUGGCUCCACUAGGGUAGGGUUUGGGACAGGUGGCUGCUACCAACAGCUCUCAAGGUGGCCCCACAGACCUGAGCCAACCACUUCUCCUCAGCCCUCCCCUGCCCAUGAAGACUGCUCAGAGGGGCCCCAUUGAGAGCUGGAUCUGGGACUUUGUUUAAACUGCAAGGAGAGAAGCUCUGUCACCCUGCAGGGCGUGAAGUUCAGCUGAAGCCAUUGAGAUCAUGGCCUGGGAGCCUAUCUAGCAGGAGGCUACCACACGGAGGGCCCUGACGGUGUGAGUUCGGCCUCUGGAUCCCACCACACUGAAGCACUCCAGAGACUCCCUUCUCUCUAAACCCACCAGUUCUGCUCCCUGGACCCCUGACCCAGCCGUGCUGCUUUCAAAGAUCUGUCUUCCACUGCCUCCCAAAGCCAGAUCGCAGGAGAAGCUGGUGGUCUCGCAUCUGCCUGAAUUCUGACAGCGGCCCACGAGAGUCGGUGAUGAUGGCAGGUCUGCCCAAGUGGUGGGCCGGCUUGGCCCCCUCAUCUCAAAGUGAGCCAUGUUUUGCUCCCAGACCUUCCUCCUAGUCUGCCAGACCACCUCUUCUAGCCAUGCAGUCAAGCCCAGAUUAGGAAUUAGCCCCAUCCAGCCCCUCUCCCACAUACAACCUCCAAAUAUAUCCACAUCCCAAUCCCUAGAACCCAAGAUUAGACCUUAUAUGGCAAAAGUGACUUUGAAGAUGUGAUUCAAUUUUUUGAGAUGGGGAGAUUAUCCUGGACCAUCCAGGUGGACCCACUAUGCCCCCAAAAUUCACGUGUUGAAAGCUAAUCACCAAUGUGAUAGCGUUAGCAGGUGGGGCCUUUGGGAUGUGGUUAGGUCAUGAGGGUAGAGCCCUCAUGAAUGGGAUUAGUGCCCUAUAAAAGAGACCCCAGAAGCCAGGCAUAGUGGGCUGCACCUACAGUCCCAGCUACUGAGGAGGCUGAGGCAGGAAGAUCUCUUGGGUACAGGAGUGAGCUAUGAUCACGCCAUUGUACUCCAGCCUUGGUGACAGAGUGAGACCCUGUCUCUAAAGUAAUUAAAUAAAAGAGACCCCAGAGAGCUAGCUAGCUUCUUCCACUAUGUCAGUUAGAAGGUGCCAUGUAUGAGGACAUGGGCCCUCACAGGACAUCAAAUCUGCCAGUACCUUGAUCUUGGACUUCCCAGCCUCCAGAGCUGUGAGCAAUAAAUUUCUGGAAAAUGCUAUAAGCCACCCACUUUCCAGUAUUUUUGUUAUGGCAGCCCAGGCAGACUAAAACAACCUCUGUGGCACAUUUGGGGUGAUGGAGGAACAGCCGAUGUUCCUAGGAACCAGUGAGGCGCAGGAGUCCCAGAUCCCUCUAGUGAGAUCCCCAGAGAGCACCACGUACCCACCCUGCAGCUGGCAAAGCUAUUUAUGGAAGUUAGGGGCCUGUUGGUUUAGAGCGGCCAUUCUCAACCAGGGGGAUGUGGCACUGUCUUGAGACAGUUUUGGUUGUCAUGAGUGGGUGUGUGCGGUGGGGAGUGCUACUGCAUCACACAGGCUGAGGCACGGGAUGCUGCUCAACAUCCUACAGUGUGGGGACAGCCCCCCACAACAAAGAAUCAUUUCAUUCGAAACAUGGAUGAGGACCAAGCGCAGUGACUCACACCUGUAAUCCCAGCACUUUGGGAGGCCGAAGCAGGAAGAUUGCUUGAAGCCAGGAGUUUGAGACCAGCCUGGGCAACAUGGUGAAACCCCAUCUUUACAAAAAAAGCAAAAAAUCAGCCGGAUGUGGUGACACACACCUGUACUCCCAGCUACUUGGGGGCCUGAGGUGGGAGGAUUGCUUGAGCCCAGGAGGUCGAGGCUGCAGUGGGCUGAGACUGCACCACUCCACACCAGCCUGGGUGAUAAAGUGAGACCCUGUCUCAAAAAAAAAAAAAUUAGCUGAG